This 913-nucleotide long non-coding RNA is filed under the name Nicotiana benthamiana. Its description in RNAcentral is "long non-coding RNA (NBEN_LNC041735)". Lineage: Eukaryota; Viridiplantae; Streptophyta; Magnoliopsida; Solanales; Solanaceae. The record is from RNAcentral.
GUCAAACAAUCGCAUCUCAUCUAGACCAAACAAAAUAUAAAGCAAACAAUACUUCAACCUAUCAUGAAAGAAAUGAUCAUUCUGAUUCCAAUGAAAACCGAACAGGUUCUGUCAGUCCAACUUUCAAUAAGCGAUAACGAUGAUGACGGAAACCUUAAACACUCAUGGCCGAAAAUCGAAACGCUAAACACUCAACAAUCUAGAUUUGUUCCCACCCAGAAUACCCACUUAAAACAGUUACUAGGCAACCCCAUGUCGAUUAUCAAUCUAUCAACAUUCACGCCAAAUAAAAUCCAGAUUCCGGAAAAUAAAGAGUUGGAGACGAACCUGAACUGAAAAUUUUAAUAAUUUCAACCUUGAAUAUACAAGUAAAGGACUCUGGCAAUGGACUGGAAUCGAGCAAAUACAAUGACUGAACUUGGACAAGGAAUCAACGGCUUUAAGCCUCAAACGCCACAAGUGAGAGCUCGAACCAAUCUCAAACUCAAACAACUUCCAUUUUUUAGGCAAAGAUCUCGAAAUGCAACAAAAUAACCAGAAACUAUUUUUUAUUUUGAUUUUUUUUUGGGAAUAAAAGAAAAGCUCAAGAAAACUCUCUAAUUUCUCUUAAGAAUUAAACACUAAAAGAAGCACCCUAAAUUAUCCUAAUCUUCCCCCUCCCCUCGCCCCAGAAUCCUCACCUCCCAAAUCUCUUUAUAUCUCGAAAUUCUCUUGAACAAGGCACACACCUGAUGAAUGAAGGACUGGAAUCAAUCGAAAUUGAUCCCACAUUCUCCAUUAAUCCAGCACAUGCCUCCUAGAGGCUUCUUCACGUGAAAAAAAGAGGGUGAGAAUGAGAGAAUAUUCGAGUUCCUUAUUUGUCAGGCCACGUGGAAGGGGGUGAGAGAAUAGACCACUUGAUUGGUUUUGUUGG